GUUUUCGCUUUAAAUUUUGUGCAUACAUCACUUGAGUUUAAAAAGGGCCAAUUCACAGGGUGAGAAGGUGACGCUUCAAAGAGAAGCAAUUCACUAAUGAUCCUUCCGCAGGUUCACCUACGGAAA
This 126-nucleotide unclassified non-coding RNA is filed under the name uncultured fungus. RNAcentral's name for it is "sequence contains ITS1". Lineage: Eukaryota; Fungi. The record is from RNAcentral.